GGGUUGUGAGGUUAAGCGACUAAGCGUACACGGUGGAUGCCCUGGCAGUCAGAGGCGAUGAAGGACGUGCUAAUCUGCGAUAAGCGUCGGUAAGGUGAUAUGAACCGUUAUAGCCGGCGAUUUCCGAAUGGGGAAACCCAGUGUGAUUCGUCACACUAUCGUUAACUGAAUACAUAGGUUAACGAAGCGAACCGGGGGAACUGAAACAUCUAAGUACCCCGAGGAAAAGAAAUCAACCGAGAUUCCCCCAGUAGCGGCGAGCGAACGGGGAGCAGCCCAGAGUCUGAAUCAGCUUGUGUGUUAGUGGAACGGUCUGGAAAGUCCGACGGUACAGGGUGAUAGUCCCGUACACCAAAAUGCACAGGUUGUGAACUCGAAGAGUAGGGCGGGACACGUGGUAUCCUGUCUGAAUAUGGGGGGACCAUCCUCCAAGGCUAAAUACUCCUGACUGACCGAUAGUGAACCAGUACCGUGAGGGAAAGGCGAAAAGAACCCCGGCGAGGGGAGUGAAAAAGAACCUGAAACCGUGUACGUACAAGCAGUGGGAGCCUCUUUAUGGGGUGACUGCGUACCUUUUGUAUAAUGGGUCAGCGACUUAUAUUCUGUAGCAAGGUUAACCGUAUAGGGGAGCCGAAGGGAAACCGAGUCUUAACUGGGCGUUAAGUUGCAGGGUAUAGACCCGAAACCCGGUGAUCUAGCCAUGGGCAGGUUGAAGGUUGGGUAACACUAACUGGAGGACCGAACCGACUAAUGUUGAAAAAUUAGCGGAUGACUUGUGGCUGGGGGUGAAAGGCCAAUCAAACCGGGAGAUAGCUGGUUCUCCCCGAAAGCUAUUUAGGUAGCGCCUCGUGAACUCAUCUUCGGGGGUAGAGCACUGUUUCGGCUAGGGGGUCAUCCCGACUUACCAACCCGAUGCAAACUGCGAAUACCGAAGAAUGUUAUCACGGGAGACACACGGCGGGUGCUAACGUCCGUCGUGAAGAGGGAAACAACCCAGACCGCCAGCUAAGGUCCCAAAGUCAUGGUUAAGUGGGAAACGAUGUGGGAAGGCACAGACAGCCAGGAUGUUGGCUUAGAAGCAGCCAUCAUUUAAAGAAAGCGUAAUAGCUCACUGGUCGAGUCGGCCUGCGCGGAAGAUGUAACGGGGCUAAACCAUGCACCGAAGCUGCGGCAGCGACACUAUGUGUUGUUGGGUAGGGGAGCGUUCUGUAAGCCGUUGAAGGUGUAUCGUGAGGUAUGCUGGAGGUAUCAGAAGUGCGAAUGCUGACAUAAGUAACGAUAAUGCGGGUGAAAAACCCGCACGCCGGAAGACCAAGGGUUCCUGUCCAACGUUAAUCGGGGCAGGGUGAGUCGACCCCUAAGGCGAGGCCGAAAGGCGUAGUCGAUGGGAAACAGGUUAAUAUUCCUGUACUUGGUGUUACUGCGAAGGGGGGACGGAGAAGGCUAUGUUAGCCGGGCGACGGUUGUCCCGGUUUAAGCAUGUAGGCGGAGGUUCCAGGUAAAUCCGGUACCUUUUAACGCUGAGGUGUGAUGACGAGGCACUACGGUGCUGAAGUAACAAAUGCCCUGCUUCCAGGAAAAGCCUCUAAGCAUCAGGUAACACGAAAUCGUACCCCAAACCGACACAGGUGGUCAGGUAGAGAAUACCAAGGCGCUUGAGAGAACUCGGGUGAAGGAACUAGGCAAAAUGGUGCCGUAACUUCGGGAGAAGGCACGCUGAUAUGUAGGUGAAGCGGUUUACCCGUGGAGCUGAAAUCAGUCGAAGAUACCAGCUGGCUGCAACUGUUUAUUAAAAACACAGCACUGUGCAAACACGAAAGUGGACGUAUACGGUGUGACGCCUGCCCGGUGCCGGAAGGUUAAUUGAUGGGGUUAUCCGUAAGGAGAAGCUCUUGAUCGAAGCCCCGGUAAACGGCGGCCGUAACUAUAACGGUCCUAAGGUAGCGAAAUUCCUUGUCGGGUAAGUUCCGACCUGCACGAAUGGCGUAAUGAUGGCCAGGCUGUCUCCACCCGAGACUCAGUGAAAUUGAACUCGCUGUGAAGAUGCAGUGUACCCGCGGCAAGACGGAAAGACCCCGUGAACCUUUACUAUAGCUUGACACUGAACACUGGUCCUUGAUGUGUAGGAUAGGUGGGAGGCUUUGAAGUGUGGACGCCAGUCUGCAUGGAGCCAUCCUUGAAAUACCACCCUUUAAUGGCUGGUGUUCUAACGUGGACCCGUGAUCCGGGUUGCGGACAGUGUCUGGUGGGUAGUUUGACUGGGGCGGUCUCCUCCUAAAGAGUAACGGAGGAGCACGAAGGUUAGCUAAUCCUGGUCGGACAUCAGGAGGUUAGUGCAAAGGCAUAAGCUAGCUUGACUGCGAGAGUGACGGCUCGAGCAGGUGCGAAAGCAGGUCUUAGUGAUCCGGUGGUUCUGAAUGGAAGGGCCAUCGCUCAACGGAUAAAAGGUACUCCGGGGAUAACAGGCUGAUACCGCCCAAGAGUUCAUAUCGACGGCGGUGUUUGGCACCUCGAUGUCGGCUCAUCACAUCCUGGGGCUGAAGUAGGUCCCAAGGGUAUGGCUGUUCGCCAUUUAAAGUGGUACGCGAGCUGGGUUUAGAACGUCGUGAGACAGUUCGGUCCCUAUCUGCCGUGGGCGCUGGAGAAUUGAGGGGGGCUGCUCCUAGUACGAGAGGACCGGAGUGGACGCAUCACUGGUGUUCGGGUUGUCAUGCCAAUGGCAUUGCCCGGUAGCUAAAUGCGGAAGAGAUAAGUGCUGAAAGCAUCUAAGCACGAAACUUGCCCCGAGAUGAGUUCUCCCUGACUCCUUGAGAGUCCUGAAGGAACGUUAAAGACGAUGACGUUGAUAGGUCGGGUGUGUAAGCGUAGCGAUACGUUGAGCUAACCGAUACUAAUGAACCGUGAGGCUUAACCUUACAACGCCGAAG
RNAcentral lists this ribosomal RNA (2927 nucleotides) under Citrobacter freundii. RNAcentral's name for it is "23S ribosomal RNA". It matches the Rfam family "Bacterial large subunit ribosomal RNA". Lineage: Bacteria; Pseudomonadati; Pseudomonadota; Gammaproteobacteria; Enterobacterales; Enterobacteriaceae. The record is from RNAcentral.